GGCAGCAGAGGAGUGAGUGGGGGAGAUGCGGGGUGAGGACCGUGGUACCCAUGCAAUGGGAGGAACUUGGGGAAUAGAAGAAGAGCUCCCUUCCCUCAGCCCUGCAGAGGGAGGCCUUUGUGAGCCGGUGUCUGGACUAGGUGCUCAGUCAAUGCUGGGAAGGAAUCAGGCCAUCUAGGUUUGCCAGCACGUGGGGCUGAAAGGUCAGGGAAGCCCUCUGAAUGCUGCAGAGCACUCUACGGUGUGACCACUGGCCCUACUGGCCUCUUCUCUUCCAGGGCCUCCUUGAGGAGGCUUUUCUCUCUCAGCUUCUCUGGCCCAUUUGUGACAGAAGGGCCCUCUCCCCUUCCUUCUCUCUGGGGUCCUGGGCCCUUCACCCAGGGCCUUGUCCUGGAAACCUGUUUCUCAUGGCCGGCUUCUCGCUUGCACUGUCUGGAACAUAGAAGCCCUGCCAUCCCUGACCCCUCCUGAGGUUGAGGGGCUGUUGUCUGGAGAAGCAGGGAGGGGUGGCCAGUAGGGUCCUCCGUGACAGCUGUGUCUGGGAAUGGUCCAGGGUCCUGAGCUUGAGUCCCUUCCCACCAUCUACCUCUUUUCUUUCAGUCGACUCAACCCCGAGUCUCACCUCCUGCAAGAUCCAUGGGCUUAGCCACUCCCUCCGGCAGAUCAGCAGCCAGCUGAGCAGUGUCCUCAGCAUCCUGGACAGCCUCAACCCUCAGUCGCCGCCGCCGCUUCUCGCCUCCACGCCAGCCCAGCUCCCUCCCCGGGACCCUAAGAGCACCCCCACCCCCACCUACUAUGGCUCCCUGGCCAGGUUCUCAGCCUUAUCAUCUGCUACACCCACGUCCACCCAAUGGGCCUGGGAUUCAGGGCAGGGGCCCAGGCUCCCCUCCUCUGUGGCUCAAACAGUGGACGACUUCCUGUUGGAGAAGUGGCGCAAGUAUUUUCCAUCUGGCAUCCCGCUGCUCAGCAACAGCCCUGCCCCACUGGAGAGCAGGCUGGGUUACAUGUCUGCCAGUGAGCAGCUCCGGCUCCUACAGCACUCCCAUUCCCAAGUCCCUGAGGCUGGCAGCACCACCUUUCAGGGCAUAAUUGAGGCCAACCGGAGGUGGCUGGAACGUGUCAAGAAUGACCCCAGGUUACCUCUCUUCUCUUCAGCACCCAAGCCAAAAGCUACUUUGAGCCUUCUGCAGCUGGGCCUUGAUGAGCACAACAGAGUGAAGGUGUAUCGCUUCUGAGGCCCUGAGCAGGGGCUUGGGGCAGCCCAGCCUCUCCUCCACCCAGACCAGGUGCCUGAGGAGCUGCCUGCCUUCUUCCAUCUGAGAAAGCACCCUCCUUCCCCCUUUGACUUGCAGGAGCCACCAGGGAGCAGGGGGUUGAGUGGAACAGUAAAGCCGCACAUUCUGUGA
RNAcentral lists this small RNA (1406 nucleotides) under Pongo abelii (Sumatran orangutan). RNAcentral's name for it is "retained intron". Lineage: Eukaryota; Metazoa; Chordata; Mammalia; Primates; Hominidae. The record is from RNAcentral.